GCGAGGUGCGGCCUGUGGGGCGGGUGCGCGCGCGAGCGGGCACGUGGGGCUCUUUCGUCCCCGGCGUCCGGGCGCCCUGCGCCAGCCCCCACUCCUGCCCCGGCCCCACGGGUGGCUGGUGAGCAGAAAGAUCCAAACCCGUGCCCCUACCGCGGGCCGGCGCAGUCGCGCCUUUGUGUUUGUGAAGUGCUCGUAACAGCCAUGAAAAGAAUGGCGUCCAUUUACAUAAUGCUUUGUUUGCAUCUUGCUGGUUUCUUUCUGUUGAAACCCGCAGAAACCCAACCUAGCAAUUCGGUCCUUUCUACCGUGGCAGUCUCUUGUCUGCUACUUGAAACAAUAGUGUGCGUCUCUGGAGGCCUUAUUUAAAUUCGAGCGGUGCCGACCAGAGUUGGAGGUUUCUGCGGCAUUUCCCGCGCGGCCUCUCCGGUUCUCGCUUUUCGGCCCUCUUCUCUCACAGCGCAGCCGCAGCGCCCCACUCUCGGGCGGCCCCUGGUGACGCCCGCCAUCUUGGGAGGCCUUUUCUGCCUAGUUCAUCUCGCUAGAAAAUGUCGCUGAGAUGCCGGCACAUGAGUUGUGAUUUCUACCCCUUCCCUUUCCUCUUUGAGCUAAGCCAGACUCCAGAAUGUCAAGUGAGCAAAGCAUACUUAGUCCCUCAGUGAAAGUGGGCUAACGUGGCGCUCCCCAUCGCCACCCCCCCCCCGUCGCCAUGUUUCCUGAACACAAAAUGGCGACACGUGGCCUGGAUUCGUCGCUCAGGAGAAAUUGGGGUCGCCCGAAAGCUCUAGAACGCGCCGCCUCUUGUUCACUGGGACUUCCCUGCGACGGGAGUCCUUAAGAUCCCUCCUGUAGGCUGGUCCGAAACGUGGCGGAAGAAGUUUAAUCCUCCCUCCUUUAAUUUGAAAGGAGAAUGUGAAUAAUAGUAAAAUGUAGGCACGGUGUCGAUCAUCUCGGCCUUUUUUUUUUUUUUAGAUUUUCAUAGUGUAUGGGCAGUACCAUGGGGAAAUUUCAGGUGUCCCCCCGCCCCUGUACCAAAAUACUUAGAAACCACUGCUUUAAGGAAUGAGAUGGGGAAAAUACUGCUUUCCCAGAUCUCCUAGUACACGGUGUUGUGCUGGGAAGACCAAAAUAUGAUUUUUAAAAUAAUACAAAUAUGUAGACAUACUCUGUAGGCAUUUUCACAGGCAGUUAGUUGGUCAGUGACCCACAGCUUAUUAUAAUUUGUAUUGUCUUUUAUGGUCUAGAAGGGACAGAUCUUAUGGUAGGCAUUUUAUUGCAUACUAUCUUAAUUUUUACCACACUCUACGAGGUAGUUAUCCCCUUCUCUUUCUCUCUUUUUUUUUAAGCAGAGGAAGACACUUAAGCCCAGAGAAAUGAAGUGAGCCAUUCAAAGUCAUACGUUGUCGGGGAUGGAAUCCAGACCUUCUGAUUUCUUUACUGGUGAGCACAUUUUCCAGUUUUUCUAUAAAUCAAGGUUUUUGAAUUAAAUUCAUUCAUUCUUUCUUUUUUUUUUUUUUUUUUUUGUAGCAAAAAAGCUACCAAAGGUGCUUAACCAUUGAGCCACAUUCCUAGCCGUCACCCUUUUUAUUUUUUUAAUUUUAAAACAGUGUUGCUUACAGCUUCGCUAAAUUUCUGAGGCUGGUUUUGAACCUGUGAUCCUCCUGCCUCAGCCUCCCGAUCUGCUUAGAAUUUAAAUUGUUUUUAACGUGUAAAUGUGCUGACUUUGAAGGUUACCUUUAGGUAAUCCUUUGUUGUGUAGUCAGCCCAUUUGUAUCUCCUUGGGGAUUUCCAUUUUCUCCUGAUGUGAGUGACACACACAUUUGAGCCCUGUCUGGGCUUAAAUGCUGUUCUGUGAGGUAACUGGAUAGGGAGAGAGAGAUGGAAGUGAUUCAGACCUUUCCAAGGCCCACGUGUCUUAGUCUGGCCUCCUCAGUGGCACAUUUGAGUUACCUGGCUCUAGGGGAGUGAACAAUUCUUUGAGAGACUCACUUGCUUCCUUCAGCUACUUGUGCUUGACUCCUUCUUCACUACCCCUUAUCCCCAGCUCUGUAAAAAUGAGUUAUUUUACUCUGGCACCAAGCCUCCAUUAUUCUGCAAAUAUUGACAAAUCCUGACAUAGUGUUAGAUAAAUCAUAGUCUGUGGACACCUCAGUGUAACACAUGGUUAGGGGGUCCAGGUAACAAAAACAUGCCUAAACAAGGACUACAUGGCUGUUAUAGAUGGAGAGGGAUUUUUGCUUUUAACUUACAUUAACGUGUGUAUCAAAUUUUCCAAAAGUCUUCAUAUUGUUUUAUAUAACUCUGCAAAUAACUUUGAUAGGUACAUACCUAGGAUAUAACUAAGUACUUAGUGCUAUUAUUAUUACAGUAAUAAUAAUAGCACUAAGUACUUAGUUAUAUGCUAGGCCCUGUUCUAAGCCUAUCCUAUGCUUUAACUCAGUGGCUCUUAACAUUAUUAAAAGUAAAAUAUUAGAAGAAAUCGAUCUUACAUUGUAAUUCAGAUGUACACACAUAUAUCACAUAUCGGUUCUUUUUUUUUUUUUUUUUUAAUUGGGAAUUAAAUGAGGAUGCUUUACCAUUGAGCAACAUCAUCUUUUAUUUAUUUAUUUAUUUUUAAUUUUGAGACAGGGUUUCACUAAAUUACUAAGUUGCUGAGGUUGGCUUUGAACUUGGAAUCCUGCUUCAGCCAUCCUAGUUGCUGGGAUGAUAGGUGUGUGCCACUGUACCCAUUUUAUAUAACAGAUUUUUUUGCAAAACACUACUUAUUACUACAUGCAAUGUAUUCUGGUUCCAGUUUCUGUUCAUUUAUUUAUAUUCAAACAUAAAAGGGGUUGUUAUAACUAAAAUGAUUCAAAACCCAUUAGUAGGUUGUGACUGGAAUACACAUUUAAUCCUCAUAUAAGCUCAUGAAAUGGGUGGUGAUAUUAUUUCCAUUUUACAGAGGUACUGAGAGGUGAAGGAGUUUGUCCAAGUUCAGAUAAAGUAGUAAAGUAUGGAUAUGAAUGUAGGCAAUCUGAGUCCACAGAUGGUAUACUUAACCAUAAGGUAGAUGUGGUCUCUGUGGAGUUCUUUGUAGGGAGACAAAGUAGAUUAAAGAAUUAAAAAUACUAGUAAUGGCUUGGCAUGGUGUACACACCUAUAAUCCUAGCCACUUGGGAGACUGAGGCAGGAGGAUUGCAAAUUUAAGGCCAGCCUCAGCAAUUUAAGCACUAAGCAAUUUAGCAAUAUCCUGACUCAGAAAAUAAAAGGGCUGGGGAUGUGGCUUAAGUGGUUAAGCACCCCUGGAUUCAAUUCCUAAUUAAAAAAAAAAAAAAAGAUACUAGUAAUGGUUCAAAUCCGGGUGCGCUCUCCAAAUACAACAAAAAAAAAAAUAUUAGAAAACAGGAGACGAAAGGACUAAAUUGCAUAUGGUCAUGGAGUAUCCUGAUUGAAUGCAUUAUGGUCCUCCAAAUUUACUUUUUUUAUCUUCCCUAAAGAAAUUUUUACCCAUCAGGUAAAAAAAAAAAAUUUUUUCCCCAAGAUUGCCUGUUUUAAUUCUUUUCUGCCUGAAAUAUUUCCUUGAUUUCUUCUUAUCUGAGUACCUCUAGGACUAAUUGUACUCCUCAGUGAAGUAUUUCCUUUCUCAUCUUCCUUAGCUCUUAACCUCCCCGAGAAUCCUAUAUCCCACCUUCAGUGGCCCACAUUUUACUGUUGAUGAAAUCCUAGAGUGAUGUGUCCUGUAGGCUCUCCAGGUGCCCUGGAGAUGCUGUAAUUUGUCAAAGUGGGCUCUGGAUUUUGGAAUCCAAGGCUCUGUGCCCUAGCCCCAUUCUGUGACUGACUAGCUGUGAGACUUCUACAAUUUAUAUAUCUGGGUCUCAGUUUUUUCCACUGUAAAACAAAAAAUUAAAUGAUCACUAAGCCAUUUUUAAAUUCUAUUCUGGGAGUGAUACUAUUUAAUGACCUUAUUAUCUCUGAGUGGUGGUGGGUAGGGUUGUGUAAAUGUUUUACUCACUUUUGGAAAAUUCUGUACUCCCUUACUCAGAUCUGGAUUAACUUUUGAAUUCCACAUUACCCAUUUUAUGGAUGAAGCUCCUGAGAUAUGGAACAAUGGAUUGAAUAGUCACCGCCCCAACCCUGGAAUCUCACACAGGACUCUUCUCACUCAAAUGACCACAGGUUGGUUAAGGGGUUUAAUAUGACUGGGAAGGUGAGCCAGGUUUAGACUUUGGAAGUUGAACCACAGGAUUUAUCUUCCAUUCAGAGAAACAAUUUUUACUUCCUCUUACAUUAUGUUGGCAUGUUAUAUACAUAAAACUUUAAAAAAUGAUUUUGUAUUACUUGUAUAAGCAUCACAGACAGCUUUGCCAAUAAGUUAUUAUUGUACCAAUUUUACUGAUGAGCCAUCUUUGGAUUAGAAGAGUGAAAGAAUUUGCUGAAGGUUAUACAGCUUAUUGGGACCUGAGUUAGAUUUUUUUUUUUUUUUUUAAUUAGCUGCCAUGACAUUACAAUGAUCUUGGCAAUUCAUACAUUUGAAUCAAUUGGGGUAUAAAUUCUCAUUUUUCUGAUUGUACAGAUUGCAGAAUCACACUGGUCAUAGAGUCACCUAUAUAUAUACAGCAUGAGUUAGAUUUCUUGAUUACUGCUUGUAGAUUGUCCUUUCCUUAACUUCUGAUGUCUGUGGCAUAGACUUUAUUUUAUUUUUUAUUUUGGUAUUGGGGAUUAAACCCAGGGUGCUUAACCACUUAGCCACAUUUCCUUUUUAUUUUUAUUUUGAAACUCGGUCUUGCUAAGUUGUUUAGGGCCUCAUUCAAUUGCUGCAGCUGGCCUCAAACUUGAAAUCCUCCUGCCUCAGUCUCCUGAGUUGUUGGAAUUAUUGGUGUGUGCCACUGUGCCCAGCUGUGUCACAGUUUUGAAACUUGGAUAACUUUAAAUUCAAAAAGCCUCCCAAAUCAGUCUUUGUUUUUCUGUCCUAGAACAUCCAUUCCAAUUACCUUAGGCUCCUUACUCUUGUUUUAAGAUAAUUUCUUCUCUUCUUGAUCUCUAGUGCUUACAUUUAUGAGUUUGUGAAGGAGUGAGAGUGAUUACUCAAUGAGACUCCCAAAUUCCCUGGUGGUAGGGACCAUAUUUCUUUUCUUUAACCUACUUGUCCCAGCAAAGUAUACUAUAGCUAUUUAAAUUUGCUCUAUAAACAUGUAGCAUUGUUUUUUAAAAACAUGGUUUAAUUUUUUUCUCCUCCAUCAGAGCUCUCUUUUAUUUAAAAUAAUAUUAAAUUGAGAGGGCCUUUUCUCUAUUAUAUUAUAGGCUACUAUAGCCUAGAAACUUGUCUUACCCACUUUGCAGAUAGUAACAAUUUGGUGUCAUGUGCUGGUUUCCUUGUUCUGCUGUUAGGAGAUCACUCUUUGGUUGCCUGAGAAACAUAAGAAGUUUAUUGGUGUAGUUUGCAGAAGUAACCCAAAGAUACAGCAACAUCCUUGGCCUAAGUUCUCCCUAUUAGACAAAGCAAUGCCCUUGGAUACUCUAUGGUAUCUCUGCCUGAAAUAGAGUAUGUGGAAGAGAUGGCAGAGGAAAGUUUAAAAAGGGGAAAAAUGAAAACUGAAUGCAAAUACAAAGUAUAGAAAGUGAGGAUGGGUAAAAAGCGAAGAGUGAAAUGCAGUAUUGGUGGGAAAGAGGUGAACAAAACAAUCUAGAGGUUCAUCACCCCUGCUUCCCUCCUGUGUGCCAGCGCACAGCUGGUGGUUUGAGAAGCAUAGACUGCUGUCUUCAAAGAAGAGCAGUGGAAAUGAUGACUCCUCUUGAGUUGAUUUCGGGUAGCACACACUUCCAUUUUUUUUUUUUUUUUAAACCUCUAUGUUCAUUACCAUGUAGAGUAAAUUUCUUUGCUUCUGCUAUCAGCUGGGGAUGGGAUUGGGUGCCAGUAACUUUAAUAUUAGCCUGAGUUCAGUUGAUUUAUCAGGGAAAAUAUGUUAAAAAAUUACUGAAGGUUUUCUUGGUCAAGUUUGUAUACAUUCAUUCAACAAGUCAUUAUUGAUUGUUUAAUAUGUCUUAGACACUAAGAAUAUACAAAUGCAUGAGAUCUUGACCUUGGCCUCAAGAUGUUUAUUAUCUAGAUGGAGAGACAGGUAACACAGACAUGUGUUAAGUAUUAAUAUAUGAGUUAGCAGAGAAUGCAGUGGGAGAAGAGAGGAGGGGCCUUAAUUUAGCUUUGGAAGCAAUGGGAGAAGGCGGUCUAGAUAAAAGUUGACAUCCAGAGUCCCAAAUGUGAGGGGGAGGGUAGGAAAGGGUAUUAUAGGCAGAGGGAACAAAAGUUCAAAAUCAGAGAGAGCAUAGUCCAUUGAGAAGUUGUAGGCAUUUAUGACGGAUGUUUGCAUUAUCCAAUUUUUAGUGAUUAUUGUUCUCCUGCUUCAGUAGUGUGGAUUAUUUUAACUUUACUGUGCUUGCUAUAGCAGAGAAAGUUGCAGACUUUAUUUUGGAGUAUUACUUCUGUUUUAAAAUGAAGACACCAGAAAUUGCACUUUUAUCUAGGAAUGCUAAGGAGAAAAUGUAAAUGAAGCCCAACCUUUGAAUUAGCAAAUGACUGGUGAUCAAUUGUACAGUAAAAGAAAGAAGGUACAGUGGCACAUCUGUAAUCCCAGUGGCUCCUGGAGACUGAGAGGAGGAUUUCGAGUUCAAAGCCAGCCUCAGCAGAUUAGUGAGGCAUUUAGCAAUUCAUUGAGACCCUGUCUCUAAAGAAAAAUAUAGGGCUGGGGUUGUGGCUCAGCGGUAGAGCGCUCACCUGGCACGUAUGAGACCCUGGGUUCGAUCCUCAGCACCAAAUAAAAAAAUAAGUGAAAUAAAGGUGUUGUGUCCAAUUACAACUAAAAAUAAAAAAAGGGCUGGGACAUCAGCUCACCUGGGUUCAAUCCCUGGUACCAAAAAAGAAAAAGAAGAAGAAAGAAAGAAGGUACAGCAGAGUGUGAUAGUGUAAGCCAGUAGUCCUAGCCAAUUGUGUGGUUGAGGCAGGAAGAUUGCUUGAGCCCAGAAGUUCAAAGCCAAUUUGGGCAGCAUAGCAAUACCCCAUCUCAAAAAAGGAAAAAGAAAGAUGCAGUGUACAGUGUAUCUUUGUCAUCCAACUUUAGGGUCUGUUGUGCUCUGUUUUGUUUUUAAGGCUUUAAGGCUGUGUGUGUGUGUGUGUGUGUGUGUGUAAAUUUAUGGUCUUAUUCAGUUGGUUAGGAUAUUUGAGUUAGGGAGGAGGGAAAGGGGGUCUAGAAUAAUUGUGCCUUUUUAUGGCAGAACAAAAGAAAUACCUUUCAUGCUGGGAGGUGGCACACGCCUCUAAUCCCAGCGGCUCUGGAGGCUGAGACAGGAGAAUCACAAGUUCAAAGCCAGCCUCAGCAACUUAGUGAGGCGCUUAGCAACUCAACGAGACUCUGUCUCUAAAUAAAAAAUGGCUGGGUAUGUGGCUCAGUGGUUAAGCAUCCCUGGGUUCAAUCCCUGGUCCAAAAAAAAAAAAAAAAGAAAAAAUAUGUUUAAAAAGCUCUGAUCCCACCAACUAAGCACAACAAGGCAUAGUCAGGAACUUUGUUUUAGAAAGACAGUUACUUCAACUAGACAAAAUGUUUGUUCAACAUCAUUCACUUUGUAAAGUCUGUUUUGUUCAGAUUAAGAGCAUUGAUUUUUGUUUUUGUUUUUUUUCCCCACAUGGUCCUAGCUCCAUUAAACAGAAACCUUAUGUGUAUUCCUUGAAUAAUGCUGGGAUUUUUACUGGAUUAAACAACAACAAAAAAAAAGGUAUAUGUG
RNAcentral lists this long non-coding RNA (7752 nucleotides) under Marmota monax (woodchuck). The stretch from base 6719 to 6787 matches the Rfam family "tRNA". The record is from RNAcentral. Lineage: Eukaryota; Metazoa; Chordata; Mammalia; Rodentia; Sciuridae.